GGAAAUGUAGCUCAGUGGUCGAGCACCUGCCUAGCAAUCAGGAAGUCCUGAGUUCAAACAUCAGUAACACCA
Molecule: transfer RNA, 72 nt
Filed under: Dipodomys ordii (Ord's kangaroo rat)
Lineage: Eukaryota; Metazoa; Chordata; Mammalia; Rodentia; Heteromyidae
Rfam family: tRNA
About the family: Transfer RNA (tRNA) molecules are approximately 80 nucleotides in length. Their secondary structure includes four short double-helical elements and three loops (D, anti-codon, and T loops).
Source: Rfam by way of RNAcentral